Camellia sinensis is the source of this 1213-nucleotide non-coding RNA. The record is from RefSeq and is a predicted model, not a curated record. Lineage: Eukaryota; Viridiplantae; Streptophyta; Magnoliopsida; Ericales; Theaceae.
AAUGGCUCUCUUCUCUCUCUCUCUCUCUCUCUAUAGAUAAAAGAUAUACAGAUGCCUCUCUCCGUAUAUCGAAUUGAUCGUUUACCCGUAAUCGGCCUCUGCAAGGUUUUCAGAUGCUGGUAUAAUUAAAUGGAGGAUAUGUCCUGGGAGAUGUAGUAGGAUACAUAUAACUAAUAGCUGUGGUCUAAGGCUUUGUUGAGUUGAGUUUUUGAGGUAUGGGGACUCUGAUGGUGUAUCAUUCUUGUUAACAUCUCUUGUAAUUGUACUGAACGUUAGUUAAUAUGGAGGCUUUGGAAUGAGGGCAUAAUUUCUUUACAUCUGUGGGGCCCUUUAGGUAAUUUGAACAACUGACGAACAGAUUUGAGUUUGAAGUUCGGUGUGCUCAUCAAGUUUCAUUAUAGUCAUCUGCUCCGGUUGCGGUGUCUUAUAUGUUGGCGUUUAUAUUGGGAGAGCAAACUUUAGGGUACGUUGUUAAUAAAGCUGCAGAAUUAUUUUAGGACGUUGUUCUGUGGAAUUUAAUUUUUUCAGAGGACUCAAUUUUGUUGUAAAAACAUUGCAGUUUUAUAUUAGGAUUGUGUGAAGCCUUAGAAUCUUGGGAUUCUUUAUUAUUGGUGUUAAAUAUGUGGCAUACCGAGUAUAGUUGGUAUUUAGCGGCAUCUUUGAUAAGAAAUGACACAAUUUAUAUCUUAUUUUAGUUUCUAAUACACUUGGGAGAUUCCAUGGCUUCCAAAACUUGUGCUCUUUGUUCUCCAUCUUGGAAGUUUGAUUACUUUUGCUUUAAUGAGUGGGGGAACUAAUGUGGGGCUCACUUAUAAAUUAACUGAUUCAGUGUUAUUGUGCUGCAAAGAGUUCACUACAGGAUAGUUCUCGGUGAUUAGCCCAUGGGUGGUUAUUUACUGUUGGAGAUCAUUAUCUAGUGAAGCUGGAGUUUUAAGGUGAUAUUAUGACAUGAAAAUCCUAUUUAUACUAUAGUCAGAUUUGCGGUUGACCCAAUUACAUGCUCCAGGUUGGGAAUCUUUACUGCAGCAUGAGCUUGUGUAAAAGAACUUGGUCUUUCUGAUGAUUGGCAAGGGUUAUGUAGUUCAAAUUGACAAAGUGCUAGGUGAUGACUCAUUGCAUUCAGUCUAUUGAUGAUUUGAUGUAGCAAUGCUUGAAAGCUUUUGAUUAGUGUUAUCAGAAAACGCUAAUACUUAGUGAAUUACGUUUUGAAACA